AUUGAACGCUGGCGGCAUGCCUUACACAUGCAAGUCGAACGGCAGCACGGGUGCUUGCACCUGGUGGCGAGUGGCGAACGGGUGAGUAAUAUAUCGGAACGUACCUUAUCGUGGGGGAUAACGCAGCGAAAGCUGCGCUAAUACCGCAUACGCCCUGAGGGGGGAAAGCGGGGGGACCGUAAGGCCUCGCGCGAUUAGAGCGGCCGAUAUCUGAUUAGCUUGUUGGUGGGGUAAAGCCCACCAAGGCGACGAUCAGUAGCUGGUCUGAGAGGACGAUCAGCCACACUGGGACUGAGACACGGCCCAGACUCCUACGGGAGGCAGCAGUGGGGAAUUUUGGACAAUGGGGGGCAACCCUGAUCCAGCAAUGCCGCGUGAGUGAAGAAGGCCUCGGUGUAAGCUCUUUGUCUAGGGAAGGAAACAAGCAGCUCUAACACA
RNAcentral lists this ribosomal RNA (438 nucleotides) under uncultured bacterium. Its description in RNAcentral is "bacterial SSU rRNA". It matches the Rfam family "Bacterial small subunit ribosomal RNA", at positions 30 to 468 of the family's 1533-position model. The record is from RNAcentral.